ACAAGUUAGGAACAUACAAAGGAACUUCAUAUAGUAAGAAACUAGCAAUACACAUCAUUGUUAAUAUAUAUACUAUCAAAUAUCAUGAUGAAUAAGAACUUUAGACUUACACUACAACAAAAGCACUGAUUAGCAGCACCUUAUUAAUAGCAAUCUUAGAAAGAUGCUGUUGUUUUUAUCAUAUAACAGCGCUUUAAUCUUAAACGCUACUAAAUAAUGCAUAAUAAAAAUACCUUAAUUUCCAUCUUAUUAUAACACAGCGCUUUUCCACUCAACGCAAUUAAUCUGCUGUUGAUAAGACUUUUUUUUUUUUUUUUAAAAAAAAAAAAAAAAAAAAAGAAAAGGAAAAAAAAAAUGCAAUCACCCACUUCCCACACUAUUACUUUGUAUACUCCACGAUUUCACUACUGCAGUUCCCUAAAAUUUUUACUUUUUCCACUUUCACUGAAUUCCCAGUUCUCUUAGCACCAAAUCGAGUUUCGAUCGUUUAAGGGUUUCGAAGGUUUUUCUUAAUAAACUCCUCGCCACUUCCAUUAUGCUGGUUUAAAUCCUUAUCCACUAAGAAGAAUGUUAUCUCACUUAUUGGACUUGAAAUAUCAUGGUUGAUCCUAUUAUCACCUUCAGGUUCAUAUUUCUAUUUAUAUUUUUUUGUCAUUAAUUUCUUAAUGCUCUCUACCUAAUUUGAUCUUGUUGCCCGAAGUUGAUUACCUUCUCGAAGUUCUAUAUUUGAUAUAAUGUGAUCAUCUUUUAACAAGACUUUUAGAUGAUUUAAAGCUUUAUAAUCUGCAGGAAGAACAAUAACGAACCUUGCAUGUGGCCUGGAGUACUUUCAUUAUUGGAACAAUUCAAAUUACAAUCAAGACUAAAUUGAUGAAGUCAGUACUCAAGGCGCAUCGUGUUCUUCUCAUGUAAAUGUUAUGGUGGAUGAUUUUGUACUAUGAUCUUCAAAUUUUAAUAUGUUGAUUUAAAGUUAAAAGUAGAUAAUUUGUAAAUGUAUUUUUUUUCCUUUUUAUUUUUUGUGUUGUGCUUAUUGUAUAUCAAAUUUAUUAGACACCGAGUUGUUUGUUUGAUAUGAAAAAAAAAAAAAAUUAUAUUGGUUUUAUUGCGUAUAAUAUUCAAUUAUUAAAUUGAGCUCUAUAAUGGUUUCUUUUAGCCUUUUUUUUUUAUUAUAUAUAUAAUGCUACAAAAAAUAUGAAGCAUGCUUAGGAAAAAGAAAAAAUCCAAAAAAAAAAAAGAAAAAAUCAAAUUAAUAUUGAUUUUUAGCUAAAUGCCCUUAAAUGAGCAAUAAUAACGCUUAUUUAUCUAACGCUGCUAAAUAUGCAAACAUUGAUAGCGCUUAUUUAAAGCGCUGUAAUUCUUUUAGCAGUGCCUAUAAUUUACAACACUUCAUAAGCACUAUCUUUUAUUGAGAAAAAGCGCUAUUAAAAGCUUAUUGUGGUGUAGUGUUAAUUACUACAUAUCAUAAGCAUCAUACAUAUUCUUCCCCCUUUUGUCAUUAUCAAAAAGGGUAUUGUUCCACAUGUUUGUUUUUAGUAAAUUAUACACACGUAAAGUCAUAUGUCACACCUACCACCAUAUAAUAAGUAAACAUAUAAUGGUUAAACACUUGUUAUUCCUAAAAGCCUCAAGGUACUCAC
Molecule: long non-coding RNA, 1637 nt
Organism: Chenopodium quinoa (quinoa)
Lineage: Eukaryota; Viridiplantae; Streptophyta; Magnoliopsida; Caryophyllales; Amaranthaceae
Exons: 3
Source: RefSeq, a predicted model, not a curated record